RNAcentral lists this ribosomal RNA (253 nucleotides) under uncultured bacterium. Its description in RNAcentral is "partial 16S ribosomal RNA". It matches the Rfam family "Bacterial small subunit ribosomal RNA", at positions 524 to 776 of the family's 1533-position model. The record is from RNAcentral.
UACGUAGGGGGCUAGCGUUGUCCGGAAUCAUUGGGCGUAAAGCGCGUGUAGGCGGUCCGGUAAGUCCGCUGUGAAAGUCCAGGGCUCAACCCUGGAAAGCCGGUGGAUACUGUCGGGCUAGAGUCCGGAAGAGGCGAGUGGAAUUCCCGGUGUAGCGGUGAAAUGUGUAGAGAUCGGGAGGAACACCGGUGGCGAAGGCGGGACUCUGGGCCUACCCUGACGCUCAGGCACGAAAGCGUGGGGAGCAAACAGG